Molecule: ribosomal RNA, 446 nt
Filed under: uncultured bacterium
Lineage: Bacteria
Description: partial 16S ribosomal RNA
Rfam family: Bacterial small subunit ribosomal RNA
Source: RNAcentral
CCUACGGGUGGCAGCAGUCGAGAAUCAUUCACAAUGGGGGAAACCCUGAUGGUGCGACGCCGCGUGGGGGAAUGAAGGUCUUCGGAUUGUAAACCCCUGUCAUGUGGGAGCAAAUUAAAACGAUCGUACCACAAGAGGAAGAGACGGCUAACUCUGUGCCAGCAGCCGCGGUAAUACAGAGGUCUCAAGCGUUGUUCGGAAUCACUGGGCGUAAAGCGUGCGUAGGCUGUUUCGUAAGUCGUGUGUGAAAGGCGCGGGCUCAACCAGCGGACGGCACAUGAUACUGCGAGACUAGAGUAAGGGAGGGGGAACCGGAAUUCUCGGUGUAGCAGUGAAAUGCGUAGAUAUCGAGAGGAACACUCGUGGCGAAGGCGGGUUCCUGGACAUUAACUGACGCUGAGGCACGAAGGCCAGGGGAGCGAAAGGGAUUAGAUACCCUAGUAGUC